Molecule: non-coding RNA, 70 nt
Organism: Potamilus streckersoni
Lineage: Eukaryota; Metazoa; Mollusca; Bivalvia; Unionida; Unionidae
Source: the annotation of a GenBank genome assembly
AGGUGACCUAGUGGUUAGAGCGUCCGCCUCGGAUGCGGGAGGUUGCGAGUUCUAUCCUCGGCCUAGUCUU